GAUGAACGCUGGCGGCGUGCCUAAUACAUGCAAGUCGAGCGAACAGAUGAGGAGCUUGCUCCUCUGACGUUAGGGGCGGACGUGUGAGUAACACGUGGAUAACCUACCUAUAAGACUGGUAUAACCUCGGGAAACCGGAUCUAAUACCGGAUAAUAUAUUGAACCGCAUUGGUGAUUGGUGAAAGUCGGUGUUUCUGUCUGUUCUAGAUGCAUCUGAGCCGCAUGAGCUAGUUGGUAAGGUAACGGCUUACCAAGGCGACGAUGCGUAGCCGACGUGAGAGGGUGGUCGGCCACACUGGAACUGAGACACGGUCCAGACUCCUACGGGAGGCAGCAGUAGGGAAUCUGCCGCAAUGGGCGAAAGCCUGACGGAGCAACGCCGCGUGAGUGAUGAAGGUCUUCGGAUCGUAAAACUCUGUUAUUAGGGAAGAACAAAUGUGUAAGUAACUAUGCACGUCUUGACGGUACCUAAUCAGAAAGCCACGGCUAACUACGUG
RNAcentral lists this ribosomal RNA (497 nucleotides) under uncultured bacterium. Its description in RNAcentral is "partial 16S ribosomal RNA". It matches the Rfam family "Bacterial small subunit ribosomal RNA", at positions 28 to 507 of the family's 1533-position model. The record is from RNAcentral.